Molecule: ribosomal RNA, 497 nt
Filed under: uncultured bacterium
Lineage: Bacteria
Description: partial 16S ribosomal RNA
Rfam family: Bacterial small subunit ribosomal RNA
Source: RNAcentral
GAUGAACGCUGGCGGCGUGCCUAAUACAUGCAAGUCGAGCGAACGGACGAGAAGCUUGCUUCUCUGAUGUUAGCGGCGGACGGGUGAGUAACACGUGGAUAACCUACCUAUAAGACUGGGAUAACUUCGGGAAACCGGAGCUAAUACCGGAUAAUAUUUUGAACCGCAUGGCUCAAAAGUGAAAGACGGUCUUGCUGUCACUUAUAGAUGGAUCCGCGCUGCAUUAGCUAGUUGGUAAGGUAACGGCUUACCAAGGCAACGACGCAUAGCCGACCUGAGAGGGUGAUCGGCCACACUGGAACUGAGACACGGUCCAGACUCCUACGGGAGGCAGCAGUAGGGAAUCUUCCGCAAUGGGCGAAAGCCUGACGGAGCAACGCCGCGUGAGUGAUGAAGGUCUUCGGAUCGCAAAACUCUGUUAUUAGGGAAGAACAUAUGUGUAAGUAACUGUGCACAUCUUGACGGUACCUAAUCAGAAAGCCACGGCUAACUACGUG